This 14909-nucleotide long non-coding RNA is filed under the name Hordeum vulgare. RNAcentral's name for it is "long non-coding RNA (HVUL_LNC008081)". Lineage: Eukaryota; Viridiplantae; Streptophyta; Magnoliopsida; Poales; Poaceae. The record is from RNAcentral.
UAACUUCACCGGCCUAACCAAAGGGCAAGCAAACGAGCUCGCACCUGAGAUCGCAACCGGCGCUCACGCGAUGCAGCUCUCACGACGGGUACUGGAGAAAGAUCAGGCAAAAUUUCAUGAGAUAUGAAGGUCAUUCUCGGAAAAGGUUGCACCAGGAUUAUACAGUUAGCCGUUAGUGAGUGAACUUUCUCAUGAUUUAUAAUGCUUAUGUUAAGUGGUGCAACGUCCGAACCUGAAUAAACGAAAUACCCGUCAGUUUAGCUAAAGAUGCACAUAUACAGGAAGAUCAUCACCUUUUCCCAGAUUGUGCCGUAAUUUGUAUCAUUCAAUAUGCAUGUGAGAUAUUUCAAUUGUUGAGGCCAAUGCAAAAUGACUUCUCUCAUGCAUUGUGCAUCUAUGAUCAAUCUGUGCAUAGUUAUCUCGUGUCCCCACAUUCGUGUUGAAACAUCAAUUGGAUGAAAGCAAAGAAGAAGCACAAGAGGGUGAUACGCGUGUGGCACAUUAAAGUUAUGAUGAGUAAUUGCUCCUAACUUCUAUCAAUAGCGAAUAUGGAAAAGGUUUUUUGACUGUACUUGCAGUUUAGAGUUUACCAUGCUCUACGCACCUCAUUUUGUUCAUACUCAUGCUUAUGUGGGUAUUACCAUUCAUUGAUGCAUAGACGAAACCUUCUAUAUAAACCCAUGAGUGAUUCAUUUGCUACUUGCUUGCAUGUUGAGAUAGGUAGCUGGUACCAAUUAAUUUUCUGCUUAGUUGUUAUAUUCCAUAUUUUUAUUUGUUUGUACCUACAUUCCCUAAGUUGAUGUAAGAAGUUGGAGGAAACCAAAAUGUAAGCCAGCGGGAUUCACCAACUAGCACAUAACCAACUCAGUGACAUUCUCCACUGGGCGUCUCUGGCCUAGGGAGAUCCUCAAAACAAAUAGAGGGAGAUCCUGAACCCAACCAACAACAUUACUCCGGGUCUCUAUGCUCUCUUGAAGAAGGAUCCUAAGAUAGUAGCACUAGGAGAGGUAUAGUGAUGGAAGGCUGACCGGUAGCAUUAACUACUGGUUAAUCAAGAACUCCUGGGGCAGCUGGUGGAGGGACGGGGGUUACAUUCGCCUCAAGCGUGGAUAUGCAAAAGAUGGAGGGUUAUGCGGCAUUCUAAUGGAUCCGCCGUACCCGGUGUAUCAUGUAAUGCUUGAGUAUUAGUAGUCCCUAGUGGAUCCUAUCAACUAUAUAUGGGGGUUAAAUCUCCUAGCUAAUUUGUUGUCAUGGGAGAUAUAAUUUCAUUUUCUUUCAUAUUAUAUACUAUUUAUUAUUAUUCCGCCGCAUAUAUAGUAGAGCAUGCAUUUGUAAAGCAUACGUGUGCGCAAACCAGAAGAAUCGGCAAUUUAACAUGGAAACAAAACUUAAAACAUUGAGAAUGACAGAACUUCAUAGAUGCCACACAUGAUAUAUAUGAUGUGCACCACUAGGUCAGCUUGCCACUAAGUGUCCUAUAUUAAGUUUAGAAACCACAGUAGUUAAGCUAGAUCAAGUAUUUUGGUUCUUAGCGCAUUCAAACAGUAGAACAAAUUAUCCAGACACAAGUGUCCAAUGUACCAUCUAUCAACCAAGUCAUGCCACUCAAUAUCAAAACAAUAUUAUAGUAGAUUUAAUUGUCACGGGAAGUUCAUCCUAAUAGAACAUAUAUGAGUUGCAGGAGAUAGCUAGGUGACCAACACCAUCAGACGUCAAUUGGGAUCAUCGGCUAAGAGGUGUGGCACAAAAACAAAUAAAACAAUUGUGGGAACAGAAGAACUUUCCUGGAGAUUGAGCCCGAGACAGGAAUCAUAGAGGAAUUAAACUACAGAGUCGAAGCCAGAGUUUCAGCCACGUUACUGCCAUCUUACCAGUGCCAAGUUCGACACUGGUUAGAGUGAGCACCCAAUGCGCAAGAUAGAGGAUGAAACUGUGUAUAUUCAUUCAUCCGCACUGAGUGCAUUAUAUACUUACAUGGGAUAAGGUUGGUUACAACAGAAACAAGAGAGAGGGAGAGGAUCACGACGUGGAAGCCAUCGUGGGCGCGCAUGCAGUCGUACGUGCUAUCUCUCCCUAGCGAGUCGGAGGGGGCUGCCUUGGCCCUGACGCUGGGUCAGUGUGCUGUGGUAAAACGGUCUUCCAACCACCCCCCCCCCCCGCCCCUGCAGUCAAAACGCGGUGCUCACCGACGUUGAGACUGGUCCGGAAGUCGUUGAACACAGAAGUAGGCAAUCCUUUGGUGAAGAUGUCCGCGAAUCGGGAUGUCGUCGGGACGUGGAGGACGCGCACCUCGCCCAAGGAGACGCGCUCACGGACGAAGUGAAGGUCAAUCUCGAUGUGCUUGGUGCGUUGGUGCUGGACGGGGUUGUUGGACAUGUACAUGGCGCUGACGUUGUCGCAGUAGACGACGGUGGCGCACGGUGGUGGGCAACGAAGUUCGCCGAGGAGUUGGCGGAGCCAACUCGACUCAGCGACGGCAUUGGACCGAGACACGGUGUUCUGGCGCUUCGAAGACCAGCUGACGAGGUUGGCGCCAAGAAAAACGGCGAAGCCCGAGGUGGACUUGCGCGUGUCGGGGCAGCCGGCCCAGUCGGCAUCCGAGUACGUCGUGAGGUCGCCGGAGGUGGAGCGAUGAAAGUGGAGGCCCAGGUGAGCGGUGCCACGAAUGUAGCGGAGGACGCGCUUCACCAGCUGGUAGUGACUGUCGCGAGGGUCAUGCAUGAAGAGGCAGCAUUGUUGUACGGCAUAGGAGAUGUCGGGUCUGGUGAGGGUGAGGUACUGGAGGGCCCCGGCCAAGCUCCGGUAGAGUGAUGGGUCGUGAAAGGCAGGACCAUCGGUGGCGGAGAGCUUGGCGGUGGUGUCGAUGGGUGUAGACACAGGUUUGCAGUUAAGCAUGCCUGCACGGUCAAGGAUCUCGAGUGCAUACUGCUCUUGAGAGAGGUGGAGAGGAGAUGGCGACGUGGGAGGUGGCGCCGGUGUCCAUGAACCAGUCGGAGCUGGUCGACGGGGGCUGCAUCUGGAGGUUAGCGAAGUGCGUCAUCAGCGCCUGAUGUUCAUCCCAUGUCGGUGCAGUGGGUGGCUGACCCGCCGCCACGGGGUAGGCCUGGUGUGGAGCGGGAGGGCGAGGCCCUAGUACACCAGCCGAGUUGGCUGGCACCCACGGGGAGCGCCACUGCUGUGGCGUGGGAGCAGGGGAACCCCACGGGGCGAAGUAGCCCAGCCACGGCUGCUGGGCGCCGGUGCCACGCCCACCGGCGGAGCCAGAGGCGGCGCCGGGAGAGUCCUGGCCACGACCACGGCCACAGCCGCGCCCGCCACGCUGGCAAUCCCCAUGAAGGGGCGCCUUGCCCUUGUCCUGCGGGGAUGACGGCGGAGCAUCGGUGGAGGACGAGCCGCCCGAGGAGGAACCGCCCACGGGGCCAAUCGUGAGGGGGCAGGCGCCAGCGGCGCGUUAGCGCUCGAGGACGCCGAUCUCUUCCAGCAGGAGACGGGAGCGAGCCUGCACGAAGGACGGAAACGGCUGCUGCAUGGGAAGAAGAGUGGCCAUGACAUGAAACCGCCGGCUGAGACCGCGGACGAGCUGGAGGGUGAGGGAGCGGUGGGAGACGGGCUCGUCCACGUCAGCCAUGGCGUUGGCCAGUUGCUGCAGACGACGGCAGUACUGGGCCACCAACAUGUCCCCCUGCACGGUUGCGCGGAACUCGGCGCCGAUGUGUAUGGCACGACCGGCGGCGUUGUCGCAAAAGAAGACCUCCAGCUGGCUCCAGAGGUGGUACGUCGUGCUCUCCGGCAAUUGGAUGAUGUCGUAGAGCUCGUCGGAGAUGGUGCCGUAGAUCCAGAGAGCGAUCGUGAUGUCGUCGUUGCGCCAGCCUGGGUCUUCGUGUAGGGGAUCGGCCUCCUCGAGGACGUGCUCCUCGACGUGGAACUUGCAGAGGACGAACCAGAAGAGGUGGCGCCACUUGGAGUAAUUGUUGUCGUCCAGGCUGAGCUUGAACGGGAUGUAGGAGGAGAUAUUGGUGUGGUGCAUGGCGGGAUCAGGGGCGGGCUGGGCUUGUGGGGGUGGAGGGGCGAGGACGAGAGCGUCGCCGGGGAUGCAGGCAAUGCGGAGCGGUGGUACGGCGGGAGCAGCACCGCGAUGGAGAACGCGGGCGUUGGGAGAGGCGGGCAGCGGCACGAAGGGGUCGGCGGCCGGUGCGGGCUGGGGACCGGGGCGACGGGCGGCAGGAUGGAGGGAGCGUCAGCGUCACCGGAGGAGCGAGUGCGGCGGAGCGGACGUCAGAAGCUCAUGGCGGAAGCGGAGAAGGGAGGAACGAGCGACGUCAGCCUCUGAUACCAAGAUAGAGGAUGAAACUGUGUAUAUUCAUUCAUCCGCACUAAGUGCAUUAUAUACGUACAUGGGAUAAGGUUGGUUACAACAGAAACGAGAGAGAGGGAGAGGAUCACGACGUGGAAGCCGUCACGGGCGCGCAUGCAGUUGUACGUGCUAUGUCUCCCGAGCGAGUCGGAGGGGGCUGCCUUGGCCCUGACGCUGGGUCAGUGUGCUAUGGUAAAACGGUCUUCCAACAGCGCAGGGGCGAUACGGGGGCAGUCAGCCCUACAGCCGCACGAGCGUUGCGGGUUGCGAGCAUAGUUGUUGAUACUAUUCUAACUUAUCUAUAUUUUUUUAUUAUUCCAUGCUAUUAUAUUAUAAUUUUAGGAUACUUUUUGAGUAUUAAUUUAUCAAUUUAUAUUAUUUUUAAGCAUUAAACUAUUGACCCAGUGUUGAGUGUCAGUUGCUAUUUUCUACGUGUUUUUGCCUUUUCAUGUUUAUAGUACCAAAUGAAGACAAAUUGCCCUGAAACUUUUUUAUGACUUUUUCUGGACCAAAAGAACACCUGAAAGCUUCAUGACGAGACCGGAGGCCACACGAGGGAGGCACAAGCCAAUAGGGGCACCGAAGAGGGUCGGCGCGCCCUGAUGGCUUGUCCCUCCCGGUUGUCCAUCCUACCCCUGUUCUCUGGCCUAUAAAUUCACAUAUAUUUCAAAAACCCUGGAGGACAUACCAAAACACUUUUUCUGCCGCCGCAAGUCUCUGUUCCGCUGCGAAUCCAUCUGGAGCUCUGUUUCAAAGUCCGUCGGAGCGGGGAUCGAUCACAUAGGGCCUCUUCAUCAACCUUGUUGCCCUAAUGGGGAUAUGUGAGUAGUUCACCACAGACCUACGAGUCCGUAGUUACUACCUAGAUGGCUAUCUCUCUCUCUCUUGAUCUUCAAUAAAAUUAUCAUCACAUCUUUGCUUUGAUCUAUCCGAUGUAAUUCUUCUGUGCGGUGCGUUCAUUGGGAUUCUAUGAAUUGGAGUCUUCUAUGAAUUUUAUUUAUGAUUCUUAUUUGCAUGAUCAUUAUAGCUUGGUAAAUAUCUUCCAUCUAUUGAUUUUCUUUGUCAAGUCAAUUGAUCUUUCUUCAGCGAGAGGGGUGCGUUGUAUUGGGUUCAAUCUGGAGGUGCUCUAUAUCCCAGUGACAGAAAGGUACAAAACACGUCUUUGUAUUUCUGCCACUACAUCAUGUCAUUGUUAUCAAAGCAUUACUCUGUUUUACUCAACACUCUAGAUGCAUGGUGGAUAGCGGUUGAUUGAUUGAGUAAUAGUAAUAGAUGACGGCAGGAGUCUGCCUAUUUGCUUAUGGACGUGAUGCCUAUAUAUAAAUGAUCAUUGCCAUGAAUUUCACAUAACUAUGCGCUUUUCUACCAAUUGCCCAACAACAAUUUAUUUAUCACCGUAUGCCUAUUACAUGAGAGAUGCCACUAGGAAAAAGUAUGGCCCCCUGGUCUAUCCAGCUAUAAGUUUACAAUGCUUUCAAUACCUUGCUGCCAUUUAUUAUCUUUUAUUUUAUUUUGCAAUUUACAAUUCACAACUAUUAUCUACACAUUUCACUUUCUUGCAAAUAACCAGUCCAAGGGGAUAGAGAACCCUCUUGCCCGUGUUGGGUGCAAGUGCUUUGCUCAUUUGUGUGUAGUUGCUGAAGACAGAAGCUGACUGAUAUUCCUAUUGGUUCGAUAAACCUUGGUGCCUAACUGAGGGACAUACUUACCCAUAUUGUGUUGUAAUUAUCUGUUCCUCUUCACGGAAAACCCAACGCAGAUCAUAAGUAUCAGUUGCAAGCCGAAUUCGACCAACGUUUGAGAAGACCGAAGGCGGACGCGUGGGGAAGAUAGAUGGCGGAAGAAAUGGUGGACCACCAGGGACUGCGGGAGUGUCGAGGGGAAUUGGUGGAAUAAGAGGAGCACCUGCGAUCGGGGUGGCUCCGGAGUGGCAUGGUGCUGGCAGGGAAACUACGACACACACUGGGUCAGAGAUCCACAGUGAGUGGCGGCGGUCGGUGUUAGACACGACAUCGACGGCGGCGAUAUAGGCAGUGGAGUUGUGCGAGAGAAAGGGAAUCAAGAAUAUUGGUUCGUGCACGUGAGUGUGAGAGUGGUGGGGGUGUGGGACCCACCUAACCGACCUGGGGUGGUGAAAUUUUGGGUAAAUAACUAAUUUUCCCUACGAGAAUAGAGUAGUUGGGGGUUAAAAGAUCUGUCUUGAUAAGUUUGAGUCGACUGAGACUUCACGCAGUCUUAGUCGAUGCUAUAUCCGUGAGAACUUAUGAGGUUCGUGCAAAAUUUUCUUUUCAGUUUUUUAUUUUUUUCCCUUACAUGUUAUGUGACUUGAAUCAGGCUUGGGUUAAAUAUCAGUCGACUAAGACCUAGCCAUACCCUAAAAAGAUCAAAUAGAUUCCCCUACCGUCGGUUAUCGUCCCCUACCUCCCGCAUUGCCGGGUUGGACUUGGUCACGCUCUCUCCACACCACACCCCGUUCCACCCCAUCUCCGAGCUGUCGGCCUCACCCUCGCCGUGCGGCCAUGUCUGCUUAGCCAACCGAUCUCUGGAUAUGUGUGACCUUGGCCCCAAGAUCUCCCCAUCCCUCUCCUCCUCUCUUUCGCUUGUUGUAGCCCGCCGCUAUCUCGGAUCCUCUGCAUGUGGGCGUGUCGUCGCGCCGGUGGUCCGACGUCGUGAAGCCUUCGUCUAGUCGUAUGUCCUAGUAGGCCCCGAUCUCGUCCUCAAGAUAGCAUCUUCUUCGUCGACUAUGGUCUACGUGAGGUGGAUGGUCGCCGCAUGAUCGGACGCUCCUUCAUCCACAUGCGCUACUUUGUGCUGAAGACUAGAGGAAGUGCUGGCGCCGGGCACACAGGGACCAAGCCCGGGGUGUGGAAUUUAUAAUAGGCUAUUAAAUAUGUUUUUUCUGCAGGCCCAGGGUGCAGACCAGCAAAAUGAAGGAGACCCAGACCGUAAUGGGCUAUCUCACCUCAUGAAAUGGACGCAGGCACGAGGAGACCUCUCCAACUCCGGUGCGACUAUUUCUUGCCUUACGCGUGCCAACAACGACCUCUCACGUCGUGUAAACGGUGUUGGGUCGGCCCAUUGUAUUGCACGGAGAUUGAAAAAUUGAGAAGAAAUGGAGCGUCCCCAGGAGUCGAACAACCCUGGUCACGCGGGACAACAAGAGCAUUGCUAACCAUCAAGUUAUUGGUUAGUAGCAGGAUCACAGCAACUAGAGGUGGGAUAUUUCAAUUGUUGAGGCCAAUGCAAAAUGAUUUUUCUCAUGCAUUGUGCAUCAGUGAUCUAUCUGUGCAUACUUAUCUUGUGUCCCCACAUUCAUGUUGAAACAUGAAUUGGAUAAAAGCAAAGAAGAAGCACAAGAGGGUGAUACGCAUGUGGCACACUAAAGUUAUGAUGACUAAUUGCUCAUAACAUUUAUCAGUGGCGUAUGUGGAAAACGUUUUAUUAUGUACUUGCAUUUUAGAGUUUAUCAUGCUCUACGCACCUCGUUUUUUUCAUGCUCAUGCUUAUGUGUGUAUUACCAUUCAUUGAUGCACAUAUGAAACCUUCUAUAUAAACACACGAGCGAUUUCAUUUGCUACUUGGUUACAUGUUAAGAUAGGCAGCUAGUACCAACUAUUUUUUUGCUUAGUUCCGGGUGCUCGUUUCCUCCUUCUCAUUUUUUUUAUUCUGCUUAGUUAUUGUAUUCUAUGUUUUUCUUUGUUUGUACUAGUACAUUCCCAAUGACAUGUUGGAGGAAACCAAUGUAUUGCUGGUUGGAUACGGGACAGAGGAGAGAUACAGUGAUGGAAGACUGACCGAUAGCAUUAACUAAUGGCUAAUCAAGAAUUCCCACGGCAGCUUGUGGUGGGACGCAGUGGCGUAGCCAGGGGGUGGACUUGUGGUGGGACGCAGCGGCGUAGCCAGGGGGUGUACAGGGUGGUCCAUGGAUCAUCCUAAAAUUCCACCAUAGUCAAUAUAUAGGGUAAAAAAAGAUAUAUAUUUUUUACAAUACAUAAAAUUACAUGGAAUUUUUAUUUUUGAACCAUCCUGGCUCUCCGAGCUAGCUACGAUACAUUGGCCUCAAGCAGGGAUAUGAAAAAGAUGGAUGCAUGAUUGUGUGGCAUUCUAAUGGAUCCGCUGUACCCGGCGGAUCCUGUAAUGCUUGAGUAUUAAUAGUUCCUAGUGGAUCCUAUCAACUAUAUACAGGGUAAAUCUCCUAGCUAAUUUGUUGUCAUGUGAGAUAUAAUUUCAUUUUCUUUCAUAUUAUAUAUUAUUUGUUAUUAUUCUGCCCCGUAUAUAGUAGAGCAUGCAUUCGUAAAGCAUACGUUUGCGCAAACUAGAAGAACUAUCAAUUUAACAUGGAACGAAACUGAAAACAUUGAGAAUGAAAAAGCUUCAUAGAUGCCACACAAGAUAUAUAUGAUGUACACCAAUAAGUCAGCUUGCCACCAAGUGUGCUAUAUUACGUUUAGAAAUCCACAGUAGUUAAGCAAGACUAGUCGUCAACCCGUGCUUUCGCACGAGAUAGUGUAUUUAGUACAUUAACUUUCUAAGAAAAAAGUAAACAAACAUUAGAGUUAACCCAUUUUAAUUUUGCAUUGUUUGCUUGUACUUAAUAAUUCUAUUGUGGCGGCGUACAUAAAUUCUCAAAAAAGGCACGUAUUAGUUUUCUCCAUCUCAUUUUGCUUGUACACAUAUCAAUUGAUUUAGAGGUAUUGUUAAAAUAAGCCAUCCAAUUUAGGAACAUUUUGUUAAUUUAUGCCACUUCUUAUAUUUAAUAAAACAAUAAUGAAUAAGUUCAUAUAAAAUACCAAUUUAACUAUACAUUGCAAAAAACAUAUUGUACAUCAUCUGGAAAUCAGUUGAUUUAGGGGUAUCCAAAUGAAUAUAUACCCAUUCAGCAUGUAGACAACAUCAAUCACCCUGCAAGCGUAAGCGUGAACAGGUGCACAGGCUCAAAAUUCUUAAAUACAGAUGCAACAGAAAACUUUAUUACAGUGUGUAGAAAAAAUAUAACUUUGAAUAGAUACAACAUAGGAAUGCUUUUUUUUAACUCAAUGUUACUACAGGUUGAAAAUACUUACUCAUAUUAGGCUCUCUUCAUGGUUGUAUAAAUGAAAAGGGAAUCUGACAAACAUAACCAAUGCGUAAGUAGAGGCCAUGGUGAAAGUGUGUCAUACAAUAAUACACACUCAAUAAUUAGUCAUAUUUAUCACCUACUUAUUUUAAAAUUUCUACCACGCCGUAGGUUAAAACAGAAGGAAGAGAACAUGGUAAGAAACCAUAACAUAAUACCACAAAUCCAUUGAAAAGUAAGACCAUCAAGCAUCCUUGAGACCUCAAUGCCCUUCCCUACACAACCUUCAAUAGAGCAUGCAAUUCGUAAAGGUUUAUCCUAGUUGUCAAUAUUUUCUGAAGCACAACCGAAAAUUCCAAAACCGCUCAAGGAAGAGAGCGGUUUUGGCAAAGAGCUAGAACAAUACGUGCCUUCACACGUCUUGUUGUUGAUCUAAACUUAGUCCAAAUACCAUAAAAAAAAGUAAUACAACAGAUAGACACAGUACUGAACCUUCUUGGAUAAACGACUUCAACAUUUUAACCAUAUGUCUCCUUACCGUUCCAUGUAUCAUAAUGCCCCCAAACAAUUACAAUCCAGUUCAAAUAUGCUUAAGUUUUUCUAAUAACUACUAUUAACUUAUAUUAACAUGAUUAUGUUAAAAAAUCAUAUAUUUGUACUGACAAAACACCACUUCAUCAAGUAGUAUCAUGUGAAGGCUAAUAAGUUCGUCGCAAUUAAGCUUAAUGGUGUAGCCUAAUGACACUGAGCUAGAAUUUCCAUGAAUCUUUCUCAUGGCUAAUCGCACCGACCAUACCACAAACAAAUUUAAUAAUAUUUAAUAAGCGCUAAUUAUAUCAUGAAUCCGAUUUAUAACAGCUUAGACUAAAUGUGUACUUGUAUAGCUGGGGAAAAACAGAUUGGAACAAAUAGAUGAAUACGAUAGUAGUUUGUAAAAAGCUAUUGACAUGUAAAAAGCACAAACUUUUGAUGAUUAGUACUUAUUUACUCUCUGGUGAAGCUCACCUGAUGGGCAUAUUUGUGGCAUAAACCAAUCUCCAAGAGGUAUCCCAAUAUUAUACGUGAGAAUAUUGGGGACUGAUAUCCUCGAGAGCAUGACACCAUAAAAGAACAUGAUAUAUAAAAUCAGUGGUAGAAAAAAAACCCUGAAAGAACACCAGAUCCAUGCCUAAACUUACUUGCACCCAGUUAAGAGAAACAUGGAUUUGAUUUUCAUGUGAUGAAAGAGGAGGCAGUAGAGGUACGUGGAUUUAUUUUCCAUAUGGAGUGUGACAGAAAGAGAUCGAGAGGCAGUGGGUGCAUCCAUGUCGCACUUGAUGGGCAUAUUUGUGCUAUGACCCGAUCUCCAAGAUCAAUGUACGGGGGAGAAAGAGACAUGGUUUUCUUUCAUACGGGGAGAGAUAAUAGAAUCUAUACAUGUUGCCAGAUUGGCUUUUGUUUUUUUAACAUGGAGAGAAGAGAUGGUGGAGUAGCAGAUAAUCGUAUCUAUUUUGACUUCAUUUAUCUACUUAGGGUCCAGGACUACACGAAAAGGAUUGUUGGCCUUAUUACGAAUAAGGUUUUUUUUAAUCGUUGGCCUUACGUUUUUUUUCGAUUUGAGCAAAAUUUCAGCUAAAAAUUAUAUGGUUUAAUCUACACCGUAAUAACUUGGACCCACUCCAGAUUAACGGUUGUUAUUGUUUAAUUAACGUUGUAAUUUACUAGGAGUCUCUAAUUAGUAUAAGUAUAGAUCAGGUAUUCUGGUUCUUUGCACAUUCAAACAGUAGAACUAAUUACCCAGACAGAAGCCUUCAUUGUACAAGUUGUCAACCAAAUCAUGCCACUCGAUAUAAAAAAAAUAUAGUAGUUUAAUUGUCAUCGCAAGUUCAUCGUAUCAGAACAUGCACUAGUACAAAAACAGGCUUUCGUCCAGAGCAGGACGCCUUCGCCUUGGCGGCCGAGCCAAGGCAGUGGGCCACAGGUGCUAGGAGGUCCCAAUAUCAUGGAGGUGGCCUAGCCUGAACCAUCGAGGUCUAUGUGGUAAGUUCGGAUCCCUGGUUGGAAGUCGAAUACCAUCGCCUUGGUAGUCAAGUCAAGGCGAAUCGCAGAAUCACCAAUUAUGUGGGAUACCGAAGAUUACGGUAAGAUCGGAUCUGGAUGUUCGUUUAGAGUUGUUGUAUAAGCGCCGCCGCAGGUAAACCCAUUUUCUACUGUGUAACCCUUGCCGCCUCUCAGUAUAUAAAGAGGAAACGGAUGUCGAACGGAAAAACACAUCUUCCACCUCAUUCUACCUCCAUCCUUUAGAUGUGAGAUCGAGAUCUACCUCGAAAACACCUGAGCACACUACAGAUAAUCCCAUACACCCACAACAGGAGUACGGUUAUAAUGGACAUUGUACGUCCAGGGCCCAAACCUAUAUAAAUAAUCUUUGUCUCUAGUGUGCUACCGCCCCGAUCUCCAAGCGUUACCCCUCCGAAUAAAAUAUACAGUCAUCAAAUACCUUGACAGUUCGCGCGUCAGGUAGGGGUUCGCGUUCCGGAUAUAGGGUUGGGAUGGCCAACGUCAUCAUGGUAGACGAUAACACUCUGGAAGCGAAGAUAUUCAUUGAAGACCCGCGGGGUGAUUUCACUGUGGCUCCAUCAUCCCUUGAAUCUCCUCGACGGUCAGAAGAUGCUCCAAAAUCAGAUUCGUCGGUACGAGGCUCGUGGAACGAUUUGGAUCUGGGGAAAGUCAGGGUGGCUUCUCGUUGACACUCCUUCCCCCCCCCCCCCCACCACACACUCCAUAGAGCAUGGACCAGAUGAUGAACGAAGCACCGUUGGGAGCUUCCUCUUCAAUAACGAUACACCAAUUAAAGUGACCUGGACCUUGAAUGGCAGGGAACCAAUCCGCUGCCAGUCACCUUCCCUGGAUGCGGAUGCGGUGGAUCGACCCACUGCUGACCUUGCCAACGUAGUCGGCGAAACUAACUUCACCGGCCGAACCAAAGGGCAAGCAAAUGAGCUCGCAGCUCAGAUCGCAACCGGCCCUCAGGCGGUGCAGCUCUCACGACGGGUACUAGAGAAGGAUUAGGCAAAAUUUCAUGAGAUAUGAAGGUCUUUCUCGAAAAAGGUUGCACCAGGAUUAUACAACUAGCCGUUAGUGAGUGAACUUUCUCACGAUCUAUAAUGCUUAUGUUAAGUGGUGGAACGUCUGAACCUGAAUAAACGAAAUACGCGUCAAUGUAGCUAAAGAUGCACAUAUACGGGAAGAUCAUCACCUUUUCCCACAGUGUGUCGUAAUUUGUAUCAUUCAAUAUCCAUGUGAGAUAUUUCAAUUGUUGACGCCAAUGCAAAAUGACUUCUCUCAUGCAUUGUGCAUUUAUGAUCAAUCUGUGCAUAAUUAUCUCGUGUCCCCACAAUUGUGUUGAAACAUCAAUUGGAUGAAAGCAAAGAAUAAGCACAAGAGGGCGAUACGCAGGUGGCACAUUAAAGUUAUGAUGAGUAAUUGCUCAUAACUUCUAUCAAUAGCGUAUGUGGACACCUCAUUUUGUUCAUACUCAUGCUUAUGUGGGCAUUACCAUUCAUUGAUGCAUAGACGAAACCUUCUAUAUAAACCCAUGAGUGAUUCAUUUGCUACUUGAUUGCAUGUUAAGAUAGGUAGCUGGUACCAAUUAAUUUUCUGCUUAGUUGUUAUAUUCCAUAUUUUUAUUUGUUUGUACCUACAUUAUCUAUGUUGAUGUGAGAAGUUGGAGGAAACCAGAAUGUGAGCCAGCGGGAUUCUCCAGCUAGCACACAACCAACUCAGUGACGUUGUCCUCUGGGCCGUCUAUGGCCUAGGGAUAUCCUCAACACAAAUAGAGGAAGAACCUGAACCCAACCAACAACAUUACUCCGGGUCUCUAUGCUCUCUUGAAGAAGGAUCCUAAGAUAGUAGGCAUCAGUAGGAGAGGUGUAGUGAUGGAAGGCUGACCGGUAGCAUUAACUACCGGUUAAUCAAAAACUCCUCAGGCAGCUAGAGGAGGGACGGGGAUUACAUUCGCCUCAAGCGGGGAUAUGAAAAGAUGGAGGGUUAUGUGGCAUUCUAAUGGAUCCGUUGUACCCGGUGGAUCAUGUAAUGCUUGAGUAUUAUUAGUCUCUAUCUAGUGGAUCAUAUCAACAAUAUGUGUGGGUUAAAUAUCCUAGCUAAUUUGUUGUCAUGGGAGAUAUAAUUUCAUUUUCUUUCAUAUUACAUACUAUUUAUUAUUAUUCCGCCCCAUAUAUAGUAGAGCAUGCAUUUGUAAAGCAUACGUGUUCGCAAACCAGAAGAAUUGGCAAUUUAACAUGGAAACGAAACUGCAAACAUUGAGAAUGACAAAACUUCAUAGAUGCCACACAGGAUAUAUAUGAUGUGCACAAAUAGGUCAGCUUGCCACUAAGUGUCCUACAUUAAAUUUAGAAACCACAGUAGUUAAGCUCGAUCAAGUAUUUUGGUUGUUAGCACAUUCAAACAGUAGAACAAAUUAACCAGACACAAGUGUCCAAUGUGAGUUGCAGUAGAUAGCUAGGUGACCAACACCAUCAGACGUCAAUUGGUAUCAUUGGCUACGAGGUGUGGCACAGAAACAAAUAAAACAAUUGUGGGAACAGAAGAACUUACCUGGAGAUUGAGCCCGAGACAGGAAUCAUAGAAGAAGUAAACUAGGGAGUCGAAGCCAGGGUUUCAGCCACGUUACUGCCAUCCUACCGGCGCCAGGGUCGACAUUGGUUAGAGCAAACACCCAAUGCGCAGGGGCGAUACGUGGGCGGCCAGGCCUACCGCCGCACCAGCGUUGCAGGUUGCCAGCAUAGUAGCUGAUACUAUUCCAACGUAUCUAUAAUUUUUUACUAUUUUAUAUUUUUUGAGUAUUAAUUUGUAAAUUUAUAUUAUUUUUUAGCACUAACCUAUUGACCCAGUGCCCAGUGUCAGUUGUUAUUUUCUACGUGUUUUUGGCUUUUCAUGUUUAUAGUACAACCAAAUUGACACAAAACAUUUUUAUGACUUUUUCUAGACCAGAAGAAGACCUGGAAGCUUCAUGACGAGACCGGAGGCUACACGAUGGAGGCACAAGCCAACAGGGUGCACCGAGGAGGGUCAGCGUGUCCUGAUGGCUUGUCCCUCCCUCGUGUCCCUCCUACCCCGUUCCCUGGCCUAUAAAUUCAGAUAUAUUUCAAAAACCCUGGAGGGCAUACGGAAACACUUUUUCUGUCGUGGCAAGUGUCUGUUCGGCCGCGACCCCAUCUAGAGCUCCGUUUCGAAGUCCGCAGAGGGGGGGUCGAUCACAUAGGGCCUCUUCAUCAAACCUUGUUGCCCUAAUGGGGAUAUGUGAGUAGUUCACCAGAGACCUACGAGUCCAUAGUUAGUGUCUGGAUGACAAUCUCUCUCUCUUGAUCUUCAAUAAAAUGAUCAUCACAUCUUUGUUUUGAUCUAUACAAUGUAAUUCUUCUGUGCGGUGCGUUCAUUGGGAUUCUAUGAAUUGGAGUCUUCUAUGAAUUUUAUUUAUGAUUCUUAUUUGCAUGAUCA